CACACACACGCGCGCACGCACACGCACAUGCAAAACCUGCCCUCAUACACAUUCACUUAAAAAUACUUCACUCUCUCUCGUACUCUUCACGCACACAAACACACACACAUACACACAUACACCACAUUUCUAAAAGAAGCCAGCCAGUCACUCUCUCUUCCUCGCAGACAAAGGCAAAACAACUCCCACAGCCUCCAAUAACAGCAUUUAAGACUCUCUUCAGUUCAGCAGCAGACAAGAACUUUUGUCAACACAUCGAACGUCCUGGCCUGCCUCUCUGUUUUGAUCACCAACAGAGAUUCCUAAAACUGGAAACCGUUUUAAUUAUUUUGGAAUUUGCUCAACUGAAGAAUGUUUGCACGAGUGUGUUUGCUAUUAUCAUGGAUUUCUGCAGCUGUUGGUUUUGAUAUAGUCUACAAUACUGAUGAACACGAAACAUCCAACAUUUUUAUCGGGGAUAUUGCAGCCGAUGCCUCAAAGUCACUCUGGAGUACCACAUCAGAGGCACUAACAUUCAUUAUUUUGAAAAACAAAGAAAAUUCUGAUUUAUUCAUUGUGACCAAAGAAGGGAAACUUUACACUGCUCAGCCCCUGGACGCUGAAUCCUUGUGUUUAUAUCAACUUGAGUGUUACAGAACAUUAGAAGUUGCUGUCCGGAAUAAGAAAUCAUUUAUUAAAAUCUUAGACGUAAAGAUUACGAUAAAUGAUGUGAAUGAUAAUGCACCAACGUUUCCUUCCAAACAUAUUAGUCUUCAAUUCUCCGAAAGAGAGAGUGAAGGAGCAAAAAUACCAGUCCCAGCUGCUAGAGACAGAGAUAUCAGUGAACAGAAUUCUUUGAUUAGUUAUGAAUUCAAAGAAAAUUUCAAAGAACCUUUCCAGCUAUCGGUUUCUGAAGAACAUGGUGGGAAUUCUAGGCUUGCUGUCAUUCUAAUGGAAGAAUUAGAUCGAGAAGUGAAAGACACUUACUUUGUACAAGUAAUUGCUAAAGAUGGAGGCACUCCACCAAAAGUAGGUGUUUUAAAUAUUGAGAUAAUUGUCACAGAUGAAAAUGAUAAUGCACCAAUAUUUGCUCAAAAUACCUAUAAUAUUUCACUAAAUAAUACACACCAAACAGACAAACCCAUUGUUAGGUUACAAGCAAGUGAUAUUGAUGCUGGAAGAAAUGGAAAAGUCUCUUACCAUUUCCAUCCCAAAACCAUACCGUUGGCCAAAUUACAUUUCAAAGUAAACAUGACAACAGGAGAAGUAUUCUUGUCAAAUAAUAUCUCAUUUAAUAAGAAACACAAAUAUUUGUUGUAUAUUGAUGCCAGAGAUGGCGGCAGUCCAUCAAUGAGCUCAACAGCCAUUCUACAAAUCAACAUUGAAAAUCAGGAUAACUCGAGCCCAAGUAUAGAACUCAACUUCUUUUCACAGACAAAUGAAGACACGGCCAGCAUUUCUGAAGAUGUUGAUAUUGGUAGCUUUGUAGCAUAUGUGAAGGUCAUUGACAAUGAUAUUGGAAGCAAUGGGCAAGUAAGUUGUCAACUGGAACAUGAUAAAUUUAUUCUUCAGCCACUGGAUGACAAGAAAUAUAAAAUAGUUGUGAAGAAUACCAUAGACAGGGAAGCAAACAGCUACAUUGAUUUUAACAUAUCUUGUCAAGACAGAGGCACUCCUCCAAAGACAGCUGUUAGAAAAAUUUCUAUACAAGUGACAGAUAUCAAUGAUGUAAAACCUCAGUUCAGCCAGGAAAGCUUUCAAUUUUUUACAUAUGAAAAUGGAGAACCAGACUUUCCAAUUGGUCUAAUCAAUGCCACUGAUCCAGAUCUGGGUGCAGGUGGUCACCUGACCUAUUAUCUCAUGAAUUCUACUGAAAAUUUACUUCCUUUUAAAAUUUCCCACUUCGGAUACAUUACAACAACACAGUCACUGGAUAGAGAGAAGCAAGACAGAUACAGAUUGGUAGUUGUGGUCAAAGACAAUGGAACACCCUCAUUGAGAAAUACAGCAAAUGUCAUUGUUGAAAUUAUGGAUAAAAAUGAUAACGUUCCAUAUUUCACUUUUCCUGGAGUUGAUCCAUUCCACCUUAAAGUCCAUUACCAUCCUCAAAGACAAAAAGCCAUCACAACCCUCAGAGCAUACGACAGAGAUAGUCAAUUGAAUUCUUUCCUUCAAUAUGAAAUUCUUGAUGGCAAUGACAAGAAAUUAUUUUCCCUUGACAUGUAUUCUGGAGUCAUGUCUUUUUCUCGCUCUGUUUACAAAGUUGAUGCUGGUUUCUAUAAACUGAAUUUGUCUGUUAAAGAUAGUGGCACUCCAGUUUUGUCAACAACAACUUCAUUAACUUUGAAACUGACAGUCAGCAAUAGUACUUCCAAAUUUUCAACAAGUCUUCACAAACUGUCAACCAGAGAAAUACCUAUCAAUGUGAUGGUUAUUAUACUAGUGGCAGCAGUUAUUGUAUCUAUAACUAUUGUGGUCUCCAUCACAGUGUGCAUUGUGAGGAGGAACCAUCGGAGGGAAAUCCUUUACUGUGAAAGGCGCGAACAGGGUCAGAAAUUUCCGAAUGAAAGAAGACAGUCUGAGUAUAGAUGUAACCCAAUGCCUCCCCAAAGUGACAGUCAAGAAGUUAUAUUAACAACACACCCAGGAAUUAAUCCUGCAGUUUCUCAGGCGACAAUAUCGAGAAAGGAGCUUUACCCUCAAUCAACACAGAAAUGUUCUACAUUACCUUUCAAUCGACAUAACAUCUGCCAUGGAACCACUCAGAUGCCUUUACAUCAAACGAUGACAAUGCCCAGAGACUUCCAAGGAAGAGAAGAAAUGAUUAUAUCAACAAAUUCUUUAAAUGAGAAGCCCAAUAGAUCUUAUGAUACACAUGACUCUAGUUACAAUGAGUGGAACACAGUUCUCUGUGAGAAGUUACCAGGCUGUCGAGAUGAAUCAGACAUUAAGUUGUCUAACCCACCUUUACACCCAAAAAAUGACAACGUUUCUUCUGAGGGCUGCUCGUUUGUAAAUAAUCAAUCUACCAAUCAAUCUACCGCUGACAUCAUUGAUUUGAAACUCGGAAGAAUUAAUCCAACAGACCCUCCCUUGUCACAGAAACCUUGGAAUUUACCAAUGAAAAACAGUUUUAAUUGUUAUUCUAGACCAUUACCACCAAUACCAAAGACGUGAAUAAGUUUGCUUUUCUCCAAAAAGCAAUUUACUAAUAUGGAGAUAUGAAGAGUUAACUGCAAGAGGAUAUUUAUGCUAAAGGAUAUUCCAUAAGGAUAUUCCACAAAAGGAUAUUCCACUAAUGGAUAUUUCACAAAAGGUCACUUUACACCAAAAUGUUUAUAUGUGUAUGAAUCAUCAUCACAAUGUUAUGAAAAUGAUUAAUAUAUUUUUGUAAUAAGAUAUCUCAUGAGAAAAACGAAGCAUGUUUGGGCACAGGUUAACAGAUACCGAAACACAUGCUUGGAUAAAUACAUGACCCACACUUACGCAUACAUAUGCAUAUCACACAUGCACAUGCACAUUUGUGGUCCUAUAUACAUAUGUCUGCAUACACACACAUACACAUACACUCACAUGCUUGUAGUCAUACAUGCAUUUGUCAACACACACAUACCUGUGGUCAUAAACGUAUGUCCACGUACACAUAUACACCUCUUCCUCAAAGUAUUCUAUUUGUUGGUAGCUAAGACACACCAAAACAGCAUUUUUUGCGGAAUGUUUUCGG
This 3703-nucleotide unclassified non-coding RNA is filed under the name Octopus sinensis (East Asian common octopus). Its description in RNAcentral is "protocadherin gamma-B1, transcript variant X2". Lineage: Eukaryota; Metazoa; Mollusca; Cephalopoda; Octopoda; Octopodidae. The record is from RNAcentral.